CUAUUUAGAAAGGAAAUAUAAUGAAUCAAGAGGAUCCUACCUUCUCUUAUGCAAGGUCAUCCCCUCAAGUUCUCCAGGCACAGGCAUCCACCCAUAGAAGUUAUUGGACUGCCCUCCCCUUUGGCCAGAGCCUGGCAUUUCACUUGAAUGAAAUUCUUUGUUCCAAGGGAUGGCUCUCUGGAAAGGAGAGAGAGGGAUUCAAGGGGAUGUCUAAAGGGACAUUGAAAUAAAAGAAAUUUCUUGGGCAUCCGGCUUCCUGUUUCCUUCCUGAUGUUUCUACAGAGCUCUGCCUCAUCUCCCAACUCCUCCAGGCAUUGUCAUUGCCAUUGUCAUUCUUCAUUCUGAUCUUCCUGAUCUUUUUGGACUUUUGUCUCUGUACAAGAAGCACCAUGGUGCCUGCCCCAUAGUAGGCUCUCAAUAAAUAUUUUUCAAUCAAAUUCA
This 441-nucleotide long non-coding RNA is filed under the name Monodelphis domestica (gray short-tailed opossum). Its description in RNAcentral is "lncRNA (ENSMODG00000049461.1)". The record is from RNAcentral. Lineage: Eukaryota; Metazoa; Chordata; Mammalia; Didelphimorphia; Didelphidae.